Molecule: ribosomal RNA, 520 nt
Filed under: uncultured Glomus
Lineage: Eukaryota; Fungi; Glomeromycota; Glomeromycetes; Glomerales; Glomeraceae
Description: SSU rRNA
Rfam family: Eukaryotic small subunit ribosomal RNA
Source: RNAcentral
AGCAGCCGCGGUAAUUCCAGCUCCAAUAGCGUAUAUUAAAGUUGUUGCAGUUAAAAAGCUCGUAGUUGAAUUUCGGGAUCAUCAGGUUGGUCGUGCCUCCGGUAUGUACUUGCUUCGGUGGACCCUCCUUCUUGAAGAACCGUAAUGCCAUUAAUUUGGUGUUGCGGGGAAACAGGACUGUUACUUUGAAAAAAUUAGAGUGUUUAAAGCAGGCAAUCGCUUGAAUACAUUAGCAUGGAAUAAUGAAAUAGGACGUUCGAUCUUAUUUUGUUGGUUUCUAAGAUUGACGUAAUGAUUAAUAGGGAUAGUUGGGGGCAUUAGUAUUCAAUUGUCAGAGGUGAAAUUCUUGGAUUUAUUGAAGACUAACUACUGCGAAAGCAUUUGCCAAGGAUGUUUUCAUUAAUCAAGAACGAAAGUUAGGGGAUCGAAGACGAUCAGAUACCGUCGUAGUCUUAACCAUAAACUAUGCCGACUAGGGAUCGGAUGAUGUUAAUUUUUAAUGACUCAUUCGGCGCCUUAC